CCUACGGGUGACAGCAGUCGAGAAUCAUUCACAAUGGGGGAAACCCUGAUGGUGCGACGCCGCGUGGGGGAAUGAAGGUCUUCGGAUUGUAAACCCCUGUCAUGUGGGAGCAAAUUAAAAAGAUAGUACCACAAGAGGAAGAGACGGCUAACUCUGUGCCAGCAGCCGCGGUAAUACAGAGGUCUCAAGCGUUGUUCGGAAUCACUGGGCGUAAAGCGUGCGGAGGCUGUUUCGUAAGCCGUGUGUGAAAGGCGCGGGCUAAAACCGAGAACGGCACAUGAUACUGCGAGACUAGAGUAAUGGAGGGGGAACCGGAAUUCUCGGUGUAGCAGUGAAAUGCGUAGAUAUCGAGAGGAACACUCGUGGCGAAGGCGGGUUACUGGACAUUAACUGACGCUGAGGCACGAAGGCCAGGGGAGCGAAAGGGAUUAGAUACCCCAGUAGUC
RNAcentral lists this ribosomal RNA (446 nucleotides) under uncultured bacterium. Its description in RNAcentral is "partial 16S ribosomal RNA". It matches the Rfam family "Bacterial small subunit ribosomal RNA", at positions 338 to 795 of the family's 1533-position model. The record is from RNAcentral.